This 329-nucleotide unclassified non-coding RNA is filed under the name soil metagenome. RNAcentral's name for it is "partial contains 5.8S ribosomal RNA, internal transcribed spacer 2, and large subunit ribosomal RNA". The stretch from base 1 to 120 matches the Rfam family "5.8S ribosomal RNA", at positions 35 to 154 of the family's 154-position model. The record is from RNAcentral.
GAUGAAGAACGUAGCGAAAUGCGAUACGUAAUGUGAAUUGCAGAUUUCAGUGAAUCAUCGAAUCUUUGAACGCACAUUGCGCCCGCCAGUAUUCUGGCGGGCAUGCCUGUUCGAGCGUCAUUUCAACCAUCAAGCCUUCGCUUGUGUUGGGGCCCCGCGGCUGCCGCGGUCCCCUAAAUCCAGUGGCGGGCUCGUCGUCGUACCGAGCGCAGUAGACAUCCUCGCUCCGGGAACCCGACGGGUGCCGGCCGUGAAACCCCCCACAUCAAGGUUUACCUCGGAUCAGGUAGGAAUACCCGCUGAACUUAAGCAUAUCAAUAAGCGGAGGA